This is a long non-coding RNA of Ahaetulla prasina, 251 nucleotides long. RefSeq lists it as uncharacterized. The transcript is spliced from 3 exons. Lineage: Eukaryota; Metazoa; Chordata; Lepidosauria; Squamata; Colubridae. The record is from RefSeq and is a predicted model, not a curated record.
GCUACUUCUGCUGACUGUCGGCUGCCUGCAAUUUGGCAGUUCGAAUCUCACCAGGCUCAAAAUUGAUUCAGCCUUCCAUCUUUCCGAGGAUUGGGACCAUCUCCAGAAAGGCAAUGAAAUGCCAUUACAAGUCACAUGAAAGUUUUUUAAACGUAAAAGUGGACAGUGCCAGGAGAGGACUGCUGAUGAUGGUGAGGGCAGAAGUUCUGGAAGAAAACAAGCUGGCCACCAAAGAGAGUGUCAAAGGCUCA